RNAcentral lists this transfer RNA (77 nucleotides) under Syntrophales bacterium. RNAcentral's name for it is "tRNA-Arg". It matches the Rfam family "tRNA". From Rfam's summary of the family: Transfer RNA (tRNA) molecules are approximately 80 nucleotides in length. The record is from RNAcentral. Lineage: Bacteria; Pseudomonadati; Thermodesulfobacteriota; Syntrophia; Syntrophales.
GGGCGAUUAGCUCAGUUGGAUAGAGCGCUGGUCUCCGGAACCAGAGGUCGUGGGUUCAAGUCCCACAUCGCCCACCA